AUGAACGCUGGCGGCGUGCCUAAUACAUGCAAGUCGAGCGAACAGACGAGGAGCUUGCUCCUCUGACGUUAGCGGCGGACGGGUGAGUAACACGUGGAUAACCUACCUAUAAGACUGGGAUAACUUCGGGGAACCGGAGCUAAUACCGGAUAAUAUAUUGAACCGCAUGGUUCAAUAGUGAAAGACGGUUUUGCUGUCACUUAUAGAUGGAUCCGCGCCGCAUUAGCUAGUUGGUAAGGUAACGGCUUACCAAGGCAACGAUGCGUAGCCGACCUGAGAGGGUGAUCGGCCACACUGGAACUGAGACACGGUCCAGACUCCUACGGGAGGCAGCAGUAGGGAAUCUUCCGCAAUGGGCGAAAGCCUGACGGAGCAACGCCGCGUGAGUGAUGAAGGUCUUCGGAUCGUAAAACUCUGUUAUUAGGGAAGAACAAAUGUGUAAGUAACUAUGCACGUCUUGACGGUACCUAAUCAGAAAGCCACGGCUAACUACGUG
Molecule: ribosomal RNA, 496 nt
Filed under: uncultured bacterium
Lineage: Bacteria
Description: partial 16S ribosomal RNA
Rfam family: Bacterial small subunit ribosomal RNA
Source: RNAcentral